UACGAAGGGGGCUAGCGUUGCUCGGAAUCACUGGGCGUAAAGCGCACGUAGGCGGCUUCUUAAGUCAGGGGUGAAAUCCUGGAGCUCAACUCCAGAACUGCCUUCGAUACUGAGAGUCUCGAGUCCGAGAGAGGUGAGUGGAACUGCGAGUGUAGAGGUGAAAUUCGUAGAUAUUCGCAAGAACACCAGUGGCGAAGGCGGCUCACUGGCUCGGUACUGACGCUGAGAUGCGAAAGCGUGGGGAGCAAACAGG
This 253-nucleotide ribosomal RNA is filed under the name uncultured bacterium. RNAcentral describes it as "partial 16S ribosomal RNA". It matches the Rfam family "Bacterial small subunit ribosomal RNA", at positions 524 to 776 of the family's 1533-position model. The record is from RNAcentral.